ACCAUGGCUUAAGCCAACUCUGUGGAUGUUUCCUUUUUAACUUUUGUUCUUGCUCGUUACUCAACAAAUUUCCUGCUUGUAAUCUCUCUAUUCUUUCUUUUGACUGCCAUAUUCUCUUUAUUAUUAAGUUUUCACUCUUAAUAACCAUACUCUAUCAUUAUAUUCUACUGAGUAUACUUCCUAUUUCCUAUCUAUUCAUCUAGCAGUCAAUUCCUAAUGCUCAAUGCUAUUGUCAAUCUUUGACAAUGGCGCCAAAAUAUAAUUGUCGUUUUACUUAUUCUACAAAUUUCUUUGAGAAUAAACUUAUAUAAGGAGAUUCGAACGUAGGAAAAGACUAAUGGCAUGAGUUCUACUUAUUAGGGUCACACAAUUAACCAUAUUCCGAACCACUGAAAAUACCAAAGAAUACUACAAUGUUUUCUACUUCCUAAUAGUAUAUUACAAUCACUGAUAAUAACAAAGCAUAACUCUUGCACUGUCUUAAAAGAUCGCUCCAAAUAUAUAAAUUCCAUCCAACACCAAAAAUAAUAGACUUCCACUCCAAACAAUUUGUCUUCACACAAUUUCUGUAAUCACAGACUUCUUCCUUCAAAACACACAGCUCUCAAUAAUUAAUAAUCAUAAUCUUCCAUCCAUUAACAAUCUUCCAUAGAAACUGAUAAUCAACUCCCAAUAUCUUCUCACAAUAAUCCAACCACAUAGUACUCUAAUUACAUACUCAAUAUCUUAUAAAUCAAUCUCUGAUUUAUUCCACAGACUCACUUCACAAUAUUUAGAAACUAUCCAUUACUCUUCAACAACAAAGAAACAAAGAGGUAGCACCAAGCUUACCCUGGCUCAUGACUAUCACAGUCUAGUCGUUAGACUAACUUCUACAACUUCUAUAUACUUAUUCCUUAUUCCCAAA
RNAcentral lists this long non-coding RNA (907 nucleotides) under Physcomitrium patens. Its description in RNAcentral is "long non-coding RNA (PPAT_LNC013558)". The record is from RNAcentral. Lineage: Eukaryota; Viridiplantae; Streptophyta; Bryopsida; Funariales; Funariaceae.